CCUACGGGUGGCAGCAGUGGGGAAUAUUGGACAAUGGGGGGAACCCUGAUCCAGCCAUGCCGCGUGUGUGAAGAAGGCCCUCGGGUUGUAAAGCACUUUCAGUGAGGAAGAACGCCUGGUGGUUAAUACCCAUCAGGAAAGACAUCACUCACAGAAGAAGCACCGGCUAACUCCGUGCCAGCAGCCGCGGUAAUACGGAGGGUGCGAGCGUUAAUCGGAAUUACUGGGCGUAAAGCGCGCGUAGGUGGCUUGAUAAGCCGGUUGUGAAAGCCCCGGGCUCAACCUGGGAACGGCAUCCGGAACUGUCAAGCUAGAGUGCAGGAGAGGAAGGUAGAAUUCCCGGUGUAGCGGUGAAAUGCUUAGAGAUCGGGAGGAAUACCAGUGGCGAAGGCGGCCUUCUGGACUGACACUGACACUGAGGUGCGAAAGCGUGGGUAGCAAACAGGAUUAGAUACCCCAGUAGUC
This 465-nucleotide ribosomal RNA is filed under the name Vreelandella stevensii. RNAcentral's name for it is "partial 16S ribosomal RNA". It matches the Rfam family "Bacterial small subunit ribosomal RNA", at positions 338 to 795 of the family's 1533-position model. The record is from RNAcentral. Lineage: Bacteria; Pseudomonadati; Pseudomonadota; Gammaproteobacteria; Oceanospirillales; Halomonadaceae.